This 454-nucleotide ribosomal RNA is filed under the name uncultured bacterium. RNAcentral's name for it is "bacterial SSU rRNA". It matches the Rfam family "Bacterial small subunit ribosomal RNA", at positions 349 to 793 of the family's 1533-position model. The record is from RNAcentral.
CAGCUGUGGGGAAUAUUGCACAAUGGGUCGCAAGCCUGAUGCAGCCAUUGCCGCGUUGUAUGAAGAAGGCCUUCGGGUUGUAAAGUACUUUCAGCAGUGAGGUAAGUGGGUAUGUUAAUAGCAUAUUCAUUUGACGUUAGCUGCAGAAGAAGCACCGGCUAACUCCGUGCCAGCAGCCGCGGUAAUACGGAGGGUGCGAGCGUUAAUCGGAAUUACUGGGCGUAAAGCGCAUGCAGGUGGUUUGUUAAGUCAGAUGUGAAAGCCCGGGGCUCAACCUCGGAAUUGCAUUUGAAACUGGCAAACUAGAGUACUGUAGAGGGGGUAGAAUUUCAGGUGUAGCGGUGAAAUGCGUAGAGAUCUGAAGGAAUACCGGUGGCGAAGGCGGCCCCCUGGACAGAUACUGACACUCAGAUGCGAAAGCGUGGGGAGCAAACAGGAUUAGAUACCCUGGUAG